GGUGGCUCAGUGGUAGAGUGCUUGCCUUGCACACAUGAGGUCCUGGGUUCAAUUCCUCAGCC
This 62-nucleotide transfer RNA is filed under the name Dipodomys ordii (Ord's kangaroo rat). It matches the Rfam family "tRNA", at positions 6 to 65 of the family's 71-position model. Rfam says of the family: Transfer RNA (tRNA) molecules are approximately 80 nucleotides in length. Lineage: Eukaryota; Metazoa; Chordata; Mammalia; Rodentia; Heteromyidae. The record is from Rfam by way of RNAcentral.